GUGCUCACUUUGGCAGCACAUAUACUAAAAUUGGAACGAUACAGAGAAGAUUAGCAUGGUCCCUGUGCAAGAUGACAUGCAAAUUUGUGAAGCAUUCCAUAUUAAA
This 106-nucleotide small nuclear RNA is filed under the name Neogale vison (American mink). The record is from RNAcentral. Lineage: Eukaryota; Metazoa; Chordata; Mammalia; Carnivora; Mustelidae.